UACGUAGGGUGCGAGCGUUAUUCGGAAUUACUGGGCGUAAAGCGUGCGCAGGCGGUCUGUUAAGUCCGAUGUGAAAUCCCCGGGCUUAACCUGGGAACUGCAUUGGUGACUGGCAGGCUUUGAGUGUGGCAGAGGGGGGUGGAAUUCCACGUGUAGCAGUGAAAUGCGUAGAGAUGUGGAGGAAUACCGAUGGCGAAGGCAGCCCCCUGGGCCAACACUGACGCUCAUGCACGAAAGCGUGGGGAGCAAACAGG
This 254-nucleotide ribosomal RNA is filed under the name uncultured bacterium. Its description in RNAcentral is "partial 16S ribosomal RNA". It matches the Rfam family "Bacterial small subunit ribosomal RNA", at positions 524 to 776 of the family's 1533-position model. The record is from RNAcentral.